AGUGAACGCUGGCGGUAGGCCUAACACAUGCAAGUCGAACGGCAGCACAGUAAGAGCUUGCUCUUACGGGUGGCGAGUGGAGGACGGGUGAGGAAUACAUCGGAAUCUACUUUUUCGUGGGGGAUAACGUAGGGAAACUUACGCUAAUACCGCAUACGACCUACGGGUGAAAGCAGGGGAUCUUCGGACCUUGCGCGAUUGAAUGAGCCGAUGUCGGAUUAGCUAGUUGGCGGGGUAAAGGCCCACCAAGGCGACGAUCCGUAGCUGGUCUGAGAGGAUUAUCAGCCACACUGGAACUGAGACACGGUCCAGACUCCUACGGGAGGCAGCAGGGGGAAAUAUUGGACAAUGGGCGCAAGCCUGAUCCAGCCAUACCGCGUGGGUGAAGAAGGCCUUCGGGUUGUAAAGCCCUUUUGUUGGGAAAGAAAAGCAGCAGGUUAAUACCCCGCUGUUCUGACGGUACCCAAAGAAUAAGCACCGGCUAACUUCGUG
This 492-nucleotide ribosomal RNA is filed under the name uncultured bacterium. RNAcentral describes it as "partial 16S ribosomal RNA". It matches the Rfam family "Bacterial small subunit ribosomal RNA", at positions 29 to 507 of the family's 1533-position model. The record is from RNAcentral.